CAGAAAUGAAGAGAGAAGAGUGACAGGUUGUCAGCCUUCAAAUGUGUUUUUGUCAGACACAUCAAGGCCUGCCAGAGACAGGACAGGAAAUAGCCUGACCUCCGUAUUCGUGUCGAAUAAGACCAAAAGAAAACGGUUGAGGGGGAUAAUGCAAGUACAACACGUGCUUUGGGUAUCAGAGGAGAUGUCUAAUAGCAGGGACAGUGAAGCACUAGUGUUGUCCUGGGAAGCAGCUCUCUAAGUACUGGAGAUCUCUAAGAAGAAGCUGGAGAAACGUCUGUGAGAAGUGCCAGAGGUAGUGCCCAUCCUACUGUGGGCAGUGGGACUGACUAGAGGGCUUCCUUGAGGUCCCUUCCUGCUUGUGUGCGUGAGUCCAACACUACAUAUAAAGAUUUCCAAGAUAUUUCAGAUGGAAAUACAUUUUAAAAUCUGGGAUUUGGAUUUUCGUGUUCCUUACAAACUCCCACAAUACCGAGGGUCUUCUCAGAAGGAUUCGCUGGUGCUGCUAAUUACAGGUGCAAUUGCAUUAGCUCCUUGAUAUCUUCCCC
Molecule: long non-coding RNA, 548 nt
Filed under: Numida meleagris (helmeted guineafowl)
Lineage: Eukaryota; Metazoa; Chordata; Aves; Galliformes; Numididae
Description: lncRNA (ENSNMEG00000000112.1)
Source: RNAcentral